Molecule: ribosomal RNA, 793 nt
Filed under: Celeribacter halophilus
Lineage: Bacteria; Pseudomonadati; Pseudomonadota; Alphaproteobacteria; Rhodobacterales; Roseobacteraceae
Description: bacterial SSU rRNA
Rfam family: Bacterial small subunit ribosomal RNA
Source: RNAcentral
CUUCGGAUCUAGUGGCGGACGGGUUAGUAACGCGUGGGAACGUACCCUUCACUACGGAAUAGUCCCGGGAAACUGGGUUUAAUACCGUAUACGCCCUUCGGGGGAAAGAAUUUCGGUGAGGGAUCGGCCCGCGUUAGAUUAGUUAGUUGGUGGGGUAAUGGCCUACCAAGACUACGAUCUAUAGCUGGUUUGAGAGGAUGAUCAGCAACACUGGGACUGAGACACGGCCCAGACUCCUACGGGAGGCAGCAGUGGGGAAUCUUAGACAAUGGGGGCAACCCUGAUCUAGCGAUGCCGCGUGAGUGAUGAAGGCCUUAGGGUCGUAAAGCUCUUUCGCCUGUGAUGAUAAUGACAGUAGCAGGUAAAGAAACCCCGGCUAACUCCGUGCCAGCAGCCGCGGUAAUACGGAGGGGGUUAGCGUUGUUCGGAAUUACUGGGCGUAAAGCGCACGUAGGCGGAUUAGUCAGUCAGAGGUGAAAUCCCAGGGCUCAACCCUGGAACUGCCUUUGAUACUGCUAGUCUUGAGUUCGAGAGAGGUAAGUGGAAUUCCGAGUGUAGAGGUGAAAUUCGUAGAUAUUCGGAGGAACACCAGUGGCGAAGGCGGCUUACUGGCUCGAUACUGACGCUGAGGUGCGAAAGUGUGGGGAGCAAACAGGAUUAGAUACCCUGGUAGUCCACACCGUAAACGAUGAAUGCCAGUCGUCGGGUAGCAUGCUAUUCGGUGACACACCUAACGGAUUAAGCAUUCCGCCUGGGGGAGUACGGUCGCAAGAUUAAAACUCAAAGGAAUUGA